CUUACAUGAGUUUUUUGGCAUUCUGUCCACCUCCUUCAUUCACUCUAGUUUGUGUAUCUUUAGAUAUAUCUCUAUCUGAUCUAUGUAGUUUUACAAGAUUUUACAUCUACAUAUCAAGAUUCAUACACAAUUAUGUUUCCUAGCUAGAAACGACACUUGAGUUGAGUCUAAUCUGGUAAGUAAAUAAACAGACAUAGAGGAGUUUUCAGAUGGAGGUGGGCAUACUGCCAACAGAGCUGUGCAAG
This 245-nucleotide microRNA precursor is filed under the name Daucus carota subsp. sativus. RNAcentral's name for it is "MIR394 microRNA precursor family". It matches the Rfam family "MIR394 microRNA precursor family". The record is from Rfam by way of RNAcentral. Lineage: Eukaryota; Viridiplantae; Streptophyta; Magnoliopsida; Apiales; Apiaceae.